RNAcentral lists this long non-coding RNA (213 nucleotides) under Mustela putorius furo (domestic ferret). Its description in RNAcentral is "lncRNA (ENSMPUG00000027284.1)". Lineage: Eukaryota; Metazoa; Chordata; Mammalia; Carnivora; Mustelidae. The record is from RNAcentral.
GCAGGAUCAAGUUGUCGUAGGAUUCCCCAGUGUAUCAAGUCUGCUCUACUGGGGAAGCAGAAGUCGGACCUUUGAGUGUGGGAAGCUUUGCAAGUAUCCAGACAAAACAGACACGGAACAUGGAGAUACAAGCAAAUGAAAAAAAAAAUCAGGUAAUAAAGACUAUAGAGAGAUCUAUGAUCUACAAUGAGGCCAAAAGCUUUGGUUUUAGAG